CAAAAUAACAAAAUUUAUGAAAAAAAUACAUAUUACCUUUAUCUAAUUGGUUGUAAUGCUCAACAUCUUCCAUGUGGAAACCAUCUAACUGUGGAGAAGCUUUCAACCAAUUUUGUGUGCAUACCAAGACUUCCACCAUUUUAGGACUCAAUGAACUACGAAAAGGAUCAAGUAUCCUUCCUCCGAUGCUAAAAGCACUUUCUGAAGCAACUGUUGAAACUUGAAUUGCCAACACAUCCUUAGCAAGAUUAGACAAGACACCGUACUUACUUUUGUUAAGCUUCCACCAAUCGAGAACAUCAAAGUCCUUGUUCUCUAUGCUUUCACGAGCAUCAAGUAACUAUCUUUCCACAUCAUUUUUUAUUUCAACAUAAUCUUUUACAGCUUGUUUUUUCAAAAAUCUUGAAAGACGAGCAUCACUCAUAGAAGAAGAACUGUCUUUAUUUGUACCGAAAGAACUCAAAGACUCGUCAGUUGAUACUUGACUACUUCCAUGAACACCUUC
Molecule: long non-coding RNA, 505 nt
Filed under: Olea europaea subsp. europaea
Lineage: Eukaryota; Viridiplantae; Streptophyta; Magnoliopsida; Lamiales; Oleaceae
Source: RNAcentral